AAGACCUUGCGCUUUUGGAGCGGCCGAMGCCUGAUUAGCUUGUUGGUAAGGUAAAAGCUUACCAAGGCUUCGAUCAGUAGCUGGUCUGAGAGGACGGCCAGCCACACUGGGACUGAGACACGGCCCAGACUCCUACGGGAGGCAGCAGUGGGGAAUUUUGGACAAUGGGGGCAACCCUGAUCCAGCCAUGCCGCGUGAGUGAAGAAGGCCUUCGGGUUGUAAAGCUCUUUCAGCCGGAACGAAACGGUUACGGUUAAUACCUGUGAUUACUGACGGUACCGGAAGAAGAAGCACCGGCUAACUACGUGCCAGCAGCCGCGGUAAUACGUAGGGUGCGAGCGUUAAUCGGAAUUACUGGGCGUAAAGCGUGCGCAGGUGGUUUUGUAAGUCAGAUGUGAAAGCCCCGGGCUCAACCUGGGAACU
This 423-nucleotide ribosomal RNA is filed under the name uncultured bacterium. RNAcentral's name for it is "bacterial SSU rRNA". It matches the Rfam family "Bacterial small subunit ribosomal RNA", at positions 207 to 622 of the family's 1533-position model. The record is from RNAcentral.